RNAcentral lists this ribosomal RNA (460 nucleotides) under uncultured bacterium. RNAcentral's name for it is "partial 16S ribosomal RNA". It matches the Rfam family "Bacterial small subunit ribosomal RNA", at positions 338 to 795 of the family's 1533-position model. The record is from RNAcentral.
CCUACGGGAGGCAGCAGUGAGGAAUAUUGGUCAAUGGCCGGAAGCCUGAACCAGCCAAGUAGCGUGAAGGAUGACUGCCCUAUGGGUUGUAAACUUCUUUUAUAAAGGAAUAAAGUGCGGCACGUGUGCCUUUUUGUAUGUACUUUAUGAAUAAGGAUCGGCUAACUCCGUGCCAACAGCCGCGGUAAUACGGAGGAUCCGAGCGUUAUCCGGAUUUAUUGGGUUUAAAGGGAGCGGAGAUGGGUAGUUAAGUCAGUUGUGAAAGUUUGCGGCCCAACCGUAAAAUUGCAAUUGAUACUGGCAGUCUUGAGUACAGUAGAGGUAGGCGGAAUGCGUGGUGUAGCGGUGAAAUGCUUAGAUAUCACGAAGAACUCCGAUUGCGAAGGCAGCUUACUAAACUGCCACUGACAUUGAUGCUCGAAAGUGUGGGUAUCAAACAGGAUUAGAUACCCCAGUAGUC